GCUCAACCGAGGAAGUGCUUCGAAAACUGGUAAACUUGAGUGCAGAAGAGGAAAGUGGAACUCCAUGUGUAGCGGUGGAAUGCGUAGAUAUAUGGAAGAACACCAGUGGCGAAGGCGGCUUUCUGGUCUGUAACUGACGCUGAGAUUCGAAAGCAUGGGUAGCAAACAGGAUUAGAUACCCUGGUAGUCCAUGCCGUAAACGAUGAGUGCUAAGUGUUGGAGGGUUUCCGCCCUUCAGUGCUGCAGCUAACGCAUUAAGCACUCCGCCUGGGGAGUACGAUCGCAAGAUUGAAACUCAAAGGAAUUGACGGGGGCCCGCACAAGCGGUGGAGCAUGUGGUUUAAUUCGAAGCAACGCGAAGAACCUUACCAGGUCUUGACAUACCAUGAAAAGCUUAGAGAUAAGUCUUUCCCUUCGGGGACAUGGAUACAGGUGGUGCAUGGUUGCCGUCAGCUCGUGUCGUGAGGUGUUGGGUUAAGUCCCGCAACGAGCGCAACCCUUAUUAUCAGUUGCCAGCAUUCAGUUGGGCACUCUGGUGAGACUGCCGGUGAUAAACCGGAGGAAGGUGGGGACGACGUCAAAUCAUCAUGCCCCUUAUGACCUGGGCUACACACGUGCUACAAUGGUCGGUACAACG
RNAcentral lists this ribosomal RNA (637 nucleotides) under uncultured bacterium. RNAcentral's name for it is "bacterial SSU rRNA". It matches the Rfam family "Bacterial small subunit ribosomal RNA", at positions 607 to 1244 of the family's 1533-position model. The record is from RNAcentral.